AUUCAUAUAGAUCAUAUAAUAGAUCGUAACACUGAAGAUGUUAAAGAGGUUCUUGGACCUGUGAAUA
RNAcentral lists this transfer RNA (67 nucleotides) under Gonodactylus sp. SIO BIC C12730. Its description in RNAcentral is "tRNA-Phe". The record is from RNAcentral. Lineage: Eukaryota; Metazoa; Arthropoda; Malacostraca; Stomatopoda; Gonodactylidae.